GAUGAACGCUGGCGGCGUGCCUAAUACAUGCAAGUCGAGCGAACAGACGCGGAGCUUGCUCCUCUGACGUUAGCGGCGGACGGGUGAGUAACACGUGGAUAACCUACCUAUAAGACUGGGAUAACUUCGGGAAACCGGAGUUACUACCGGAUAAUAUAUUGAACUGCAUGGUUCAAUAGUGUAAUACGGUUUUGCUGACCUUUAUAGAUGGAUCCGUGUCGCAUUAGCUAGUUGGUAAGGUAACGGCUUACCAAGGCGACGAUGCGUAGCCGACCUGAGAGGGGGAACGGCCACACUGGAACUGGAACACGGUCCAGACUCCUACGUGAGGCAGCGAUAGGGAAUCUUCCGCAAUGUGCGAAAGCCUGACGGAGCGACGCCGCGUGGAUGAUGAGGGUCUUCGGAUCGUAAAACUCUGUUAGUGGGGAAGAACAAAUGUGUAAGUAACGAUGCACGUCUUGACGGUACCUAGUCAGAAAGCCACGGCUAACUACGUG
RNAcentral lists this ribosomal RNA (497 nucleotides) under uncultured bacterium. Its description in RNAcentral is "partial 16S ribosomal RNA". It matches the Rfam family "Bacterial small subunit ribosomal RNA", at positions 28 to 507 of the family's 1533-position model. The record is from RNAcentral.